GCAAGUCGAGCGGUAGCACAGAGAGCUUGCUCUCGGGUGACGAGCGGCGGACGGGUGAGUAAUGUCUGGGAAACUGCCUGAUGGAGGGGGAUAACUACUGGAAACGGUAGCUAAUACCGCAUAACGUCGCAAGACCAAAGUGGGGGACCUUCGGGCCUCAUGCCAUCAGAUGUGCCCAGAUGGGAUUAGCUGGUAGGUGGGGUAACGGCUCACCUAGGCGACGAUCCCUAGCUGGUCUGAGAGGAUGACCAGCCACACUGGAACUGAGACACGGUCCAGACUCCUACGGGAGGCAGCAGUGGGGAAUAUUGCACAAUGGGCGCAAGCCUGAUGCAGCCAUGCCGCGUGUGUGAAGAAGGCCUUCGGGUUGUAAAGCACUUUCAGCGGGGAGGAAGGCGGUGAGGUUAAUAACCUCAUCGAUUGACGUUACCCGCAGAAGAAGCACCGGCUAACUCCGUGCCAGCAGCCGCGGUAAUACGGAGGGUGCAAGCGUUAAUCGGAAUUACUGGGCGUAAAGCGCACGCAGGCGGUCUGUCAAGUCGGAUGUGAAAUCCCCGGGCUCAACCUGGGAACUGCAUUCGAAACUGGCAGGCUAGAGUCUUGUAGAGGGGGGUAGAAUUCCAGGUGUAGCGGUGAAAUGCGUAGAGAUCUGGAGGAAUACCGGUGGCGAAGGCGGCCCCCUGGACAAAGACUGACGCUCAGGUGCGAAAGCGUGGGGAGCAAACAGGAUUAGAUACCCUGGUAGUCCACGCUGUAAACGAUGUCGAUUUGGAGGUUGUGCCCUUGAGGCGUGGCUUCCGGAGCUAACGCGUUAAAUCGACCGCCUGGGGAGUACGGCCGCAAGGUUAAAACUCAAAUGAAUUGACGGGGGCCCGCACAAGCGGUGGAGCAUGUGGUUUAAUUCGAUGCAACGCGAAGAACCUUACCUGGUCUUGACAUCCACAGAACUUUCCAGAGAUGGAUUGGUGCCUUCGGGAACUGUGAGACAGGUGCUGCAUGGCUGUCGUCAGCUCGUGUUGUGAAAUGUUGGGUUAAGUCCCGCAACGAGCGCAACCCUUAUCCUUUGUUGCCAGCGGUCCGGCCGGGAACUCAAAGGAGACUGCCAGUGAUAAACUGGAGGAAGGUGGGGAUGACGUCAAGUCAUCAUGGCCCUUACGACCAGGGCUACACACGUGCUACAAUGGCAUAUACAAAGAGAAGCGACCUCGCGAGAGCAAGCGGACCUCAUAAAGUAUGUCGUAGUCCGGAUUGGAGUCUGCAACUCGACUCCAUGAAGUCGGAAUCGCUAGUAAUCGUAGAUCAGAAUGCUACGGUGAAUACGUUCCCGGGCCUUGUACACACCGCCCGUCACACCAUGGGAGUGGGUUGCAAAAGAAGUAGGUAGCUUAACCUUCGGGAGGGC
This 1402-nucleotide ribosomal RNA is filed under the name Klebsiella quasivariicola. RNAcentral's name for it is "bacterial SSU rRNA". It matches the Rfam family "Bacterial small subunit ribosomal RNA". The record is from RNAcentral. Lineage: Bacteria; Pseudomonadati; Pseudomonadota; Gammaproteobacteria; Enterobacterales; Enterobacteriaceae.